This 301-nucleotide ribosomal RNA is filed under the name Planctomycetaceae bacterium. RNAcentral's name for it is "partial 23S ribosomal RNA". It matches the Rfam family "Bacterial large subunit ribosomal RNA", at positions 2610 to 2925 of the family's 2925-position model. The record is from RNAcentral. Lineage: Bacteria; Pseudomonadati; Planctomycetota; Planctomycetia; Planctomycetales; Planctomycetaceae.
UUUAAACCGUCGUGAGACAGGUUGGUCCCUAUCUGCUGUGGGCGUACGAAACUUGAGGGAUUUUCUCUUUAGUACGAGAGGAUUUGGAGGGACGUACCUCUGGUGUUCCUGUUGUCUUGCUCAAGGCAGCGCAGGGUAGCUAAGUACGGUUCGGAUAAGCGCUGAAAGCAUCUAAGCGCGAAGCCAGUCCCAAGAUAAGGUUUCGACGAGUCCCCUGGAAGACCACCAGGUUGAUAGGCUGGCUGUGUAAGAUGGGCAACCAUCUCAGCUGACCAGUACUAACGGACAAACGCUUGACCAU